Molecule: ribosomal RNA, 421 nt
Filed under: uncultured microorganism
Description: bacterial SSU rRNA
Rfam family: Bacterial small subunit ribosomal RNA
Source: RNAcentral
GAGUUUGAUCGUGGCUCAGGACGAACGCUGGCGGCGUGCUUAACACAUGCAAGUCGAACGGUAAGGCUCCAGCUUGCUGGGGUACACGAGUGGCGAACGGGUGAGUAACACGUGGGUGACCUGCCCUGCACUUCGGGGAUAAGCCUGGGAAACUGGGUCUAAUACCGGAUAGGACCGCACCGUGAGGGUGUGGUGGAAAGUUUUUUCGGUGUGGGAUGGGCCCGCGGCCUAUCAGCUUGUUGGUGGGGUAAUGGCCUACCAAGGCGGCGACGGGUAGCCGGCCUGAGAGGGUGGACGGCCACAUUGGGACUGAGACACGGCCCAGACUCCUACGGGAGGCAGCAGUGGGGAAUAUUGCACAAUGGGCGGAAGCCUGAUGCAGCGACGCCGCGUGGGGGAUGACGGCCUCGGUUGUAACGUA